CACGUAGGCGGCUUCUUAAGUCAGGGGUGAAAUCCUGGAGCUCAACUCCAGAACUGCCCUUGAUACUGAGAAGCUUGAGUCCGGGAGAGGUGAGUGGAACUGCGAGUGUAGAAGUGAAAUUCGUAGAUAUUCGCAAGAACACCAGUGGCGAAGGCGGCUCACUGGCCCGGUACUGACGCUGAGGUGCGAAAGCGUGGGAGCAAACA
RNAcentral lists this ribosomal RNA (206 nucleotides) under uncultured bacterium. RNAcentral describes it as "partial 16S ribosomal RNA". It matches the Rfam family "Bacterial small subunit ribosomal RNA", at positions 568 to 774 of the family's 1533-position model. The record is from RNAcentral.